This 465-nucleotide ribosomal RNA is filed under the name uncultured bacterium. RNAcentral describes it as "bacterial SSU rRNA". It matches the Rfam family "Bacterial small subunit ribosomal RNA", at positions 339 to 796 of the family's 1533-position model. The record is from RNAcentral.
CUACGGGAGGCAGCAGUGGGGAAUUUUGGACAAUGGGCGCAAGCCUGAUCCAGCCAUGCCGCGUGAGUGAAGAAGGCCUUCGGGUUGUAAAGCUCUUUCGGCCGGAACGAAAUCGCGCCCCCUAAUACGGGGUGUGGAUGACGGUACCGGAAGAAGAAGCACCGGCUAACUACGUGCCAGCAGCCGCGGUAAUACGUAGGGUGCGAGCGUUAAUCGGAAUUACUGGGCGUAAAGCGUGCGCAGGCGGCGCGCCAAGUCAGAUGUGAAAGCCCCGGGCUUAACCUGGGAACGGCGUUUGAAACUGGAGGGCUGGAGUGUGGCAGAGGGAGGUGGAAUUCCACGUGUAGCAGUGAAGUGCGUAGAGAUGUGGAGGAACACCGAUGGCGAAGGCAGCCUCCUGGGCCAACACUGACGCUCAUGCACGAAAGCGUGGGGAGCAAACGGGAUUAGAUAUCCGAGUAGUCC